AUUGAACGCUGGCGGCAUGCCUUACACAUGCAAGUCGAACGGUAACGGGCCUUCGGGUGCCGACGAGUGGCGAACGGGUGAGUAAAGUAUCGGAACGUGCCUUAUAGUGGGGGAUAACGUAGCGAAAGUUACGCUAAUACCGCAUAUUGCCUGGGUGUAAAAGCCCGAGGUGAAAGGGGGGGAUCGUAAGACCUCUCGCUGUAAGAGCGGCCGAUAUCGGAUUAGCUAGUUGGUGGGGUAAAGGCCUACC
RNAcentral lists this ribosomal RNA (250 nucleotides) under uncultured bacterium. Its description in RNAcentral is "partial 16S ribosomal RNA". It matches the Rfam family "Bacterial small subunit ribosomal RNA", at positions 30 to 269 of the family's 1533-position model. The record is from RNAcentral.